Molecule: long non-coding RNA, 294 nt
Organism: Passer domesticus (house sparrow)
Lineage: Eukaryota; Metazoa; Chordata; Aves; Passeriformes; Passeridae
Exons: 3
Source: RefSeq, a predicted model, not a curated record
UCUGCUCUUAUUGUGGUUGCAUUUCUGGGACAAUCCCUAGCCACAUGAAGCUAGAGAAAUGCAGUUGCAUGGAGAAAGCAUGCAAAAAAGUGGUCUUGUGUGCUUGGAAAUCUAAUUUUCACAUUCAGAAAAGACAGCAGCAGGGUGCUCCAAUAGAAGUGGCAAAGACAAAACCCUGAACUAAACUGGCCACAGCCACACAGAGCAGCCCAAGCUGGCAAGAGCAUUGCAGAAUAUCAAGAAGGGACCACACAGAAAACCUAAUUGCCUUCUCAUGGCUGAGAAACAAGGAAA